AAAGAUGGCGGAAAUGGAAGGGUUUUGGAGCUGUAAGUGAUUCAAUAGCUGGUUGUUGUAAAUCCCGUGGCUUUCAGCCAAUCCACUCGCGCAAGGAUGAAGAAACAGUUUUAUCGGGUCAAACAGCUGGCUGAUCAACGUGUUGGCAGGGCCGAGAAGACCGAAAUCUUGUCAGAAGACUUACAGAAUGUUGAGAAAACUGUGGAGAAAAUCAAGCAUGCUUGUCAAUCUGCAAACAAGCGAAUCACUGCAUCAAUGCAAGGUUCUGGGAGUGAUUUUGAAAAACGGAUGAAAAAGCUAAACCAAACAGGUCUUGCAAACAGUAUGCUUGAGUCUAGCAAUCAGUUAGGAGACAGCUCUGUUCUUGGAACUAUAAUGUCUGGAGCGGGGGAGGCAGAGUUGGCAGUUGCCAAGGAGUUGUGUGAAUUUGAGAUGGCUGUAGAAAGGAAUGUUAUUGCUCCUAUGACAACACUACUGGAGAAUGAUAUUCCAAGUAUUGCUCAGUCCAAGAAGAAGCUAUCCAAGGCUGCUCUUGACAUGGACACAUGUAAAUCAAGAUGGAUGGCAGCUGUGAAAGGAGCACAUGGAGCAAGUAAAGACAUGUGGGCUGCUGCAUCCAAAGCAGAUUCCCUUAAAGAUGAACUGGAAGAAGAAACUGCUAAAUUUGAAGGAUGCCAGGAUAGCUUUACUACUGAAGCUCUGAAGUUUGUAUCCAGAGAAGGAGAAUACGCAGAUUGGAUUAUACAUUUUAUGCAAGCUCAACUAGAAUAUCACAGGAAGGCUGCUGUUAUUCUGGAAAAUGCUCUACCAGACCUGAAAAUAAAAGUUGAUGAGUCGUCAUUGAGACCUGUGUUUGGAUGUCCUUUAGAAGAACAUUUGAAAGCUCAAAAUAGAAGUAUAGCCUUUGUGCUUGAAGAAAGUUUGACAUUCCUACAUGAGACAGCUCUAGAAGAACAGGGCUUAUUUCGGUUGGCUGGAAGUGCAUCUAAAAUCAGAAAAUUAAAGGCUGAGUUUGAUGCUGGCUUAGUAGACUUAGCAGAAUAUUCAAUAGACCUACAUGCUAUAACAGGAGUAGUAAAGUUAUACCUACGAGAACUGCCAGAACCUCUGAUGACAUUCAAAUUGUACGAUGAAUGGAUACAGGCUGCAAGUAUUCAGGAAAAUGGAGCAAAGUUACAAGCUUACUGGACACUUGUAGAAAAAUUACCCAAACCUAAUAAAGAUAAUCUAAGGUAUUUGAUUUGUUUCUUGGCUAAGCUGUGUGAACAUGCAGAGUUCAACAAGAUGACAGCAAGUAAUGUUGCUAUAGUGAUAGGACCAAACAUCAUUUAUUCUCAGCUCAAGCAUGAUGGUGUCAGUCUACAGCAUACUGGUAUCCAGUCAUCAAUAAUAGAGGCAUUGAUACAACACCAUAAAUAUUUCUUUCCUAAAGGAGUGGACUUCUUCCGAAGUAUUCCAACGCAGGAAAAUGGUUUAAACACUACUACAAACUCAUCUUCAAAUUCAUCAUCUAACAAAGCUAAUCAAGAGCAACAACGACAUUCAACACAACAAAAAAGAUCUGUAGCAGAGUUUCAAAGUGUUACAGGAGGGCUUUUGGAAGAAGUAGUUGGAAUGAUCAAUGCAUCUAGUUCAAGUGACAAGUAAAUACAGUUACAAGCCAUUUACCCUAUCCUGUGUACACCUUACCCUAUCCUGUGUACACCUUANCCUAUCCUGUGUACACCUUACCCUAUCCUGUGUACACCUUACUCUACCCAUUUUGUUUAUUCCCUAUUCAAGCUAACCUGUAUCUUAAGACCCAAACAUGUAUGCUUUUCUGUUUUGAUAUUUAUCCA
Molecule: unclassified non-coding RNA, 1838 nt
Filed under: Actinia tenebrosa (Australian red waratah sea anemone)
Lineage: Eukaryota; Metazoa; Cnidaria; Anthozoa; Actiniaria; Actiniidae
Description: rho GTPase-activating protein 44-like, transcript variant X2
Source: RNAcentral